This 701-nucleotide long non-coding RNA is filed under the name Homo sapiens (human). Its description in RNAcentral is "HSALNT0054933". The record is from RNAcentral. Lineage: Eukaryota; Metazoa; Chordata; Mammalia; Primates; Hominidae.
GUAAAUGUUUCCUCAUAGCAGAGCUGAAGAUCAUUAUCUUGACAUAUAGUCAUGCGUUCUGAAAGAGGAUAAGCUUUUUCUUCUGGGUGAGGUCUGUGUUUUUCAUACCUCUGAGGCCUUGGUGUCGUGACAAGAGAGGCCAUCCAAUGGUGAAAUUUUUGGAGAAGUGGGUCAUCGUGAAUGUAGGUGCCAAGCGAUCAAUUUCCUCCUGGCUUUAUGGGAUGGAGCAAUGGCUGGAGAGAGUCUAGGAAGGAUCUCUUAAUUGGAGUCUUGUCCUCAAUCCUCCUACACAUACUGCAUGGAAUGGAAUAAAAGGGGCCUAGGAAGCUACCAGUGGCUGGUUUGGUGGUUGCAUUUAUAGAUGAUCUAUGUGUAGCAGCAUCAGAAAAGGGACAGGUUGUCGUUCCCUUCACCACUCCUGCCUUGGACUACAAAACCCUGGACCAAACCAUCACCAGCUGUCUCCUGGACAUAGAACAGUUUUCAACUACUGUCCCCAAAUCUAUUCUUGCCCUCCUGGACCCUCUACUGUGCUGCAGCUAGUAUGAUCAGAAAAGACAGGGAAGAGUUACCAGUCCCCAGGAAAAGCUGUGGCUGUAGGAAAGGGCUCUCUGCCAGGAGCCCCUGAGUGGAAUCAAUGAAGGAGUAGGCCUGCAGUAGAAUGAAUGAAUGAAUGAAUGAAUAAAGAAUAAAUACCGCAG